This 220-nucleotide long non-coding RNA is filed under the name Gopherus agassizii (Agassiz's desert tortoise). Its description in RNAcentral is "lncRNA (ENSGAGG00000002757.1)". The record is from RNAcentral. Lineage: Eukaryota; Metazoa; Chordata; Testudines; Testudinidae.
AUCUGCAGAUCAGUGGAUUCACUGAGCUGUUUCUUAAAAGGAUUUUUUUCUGUGCAUUUCAGAUGACCAAGAACAAAAUUAUAACCACCUGAUACUAAACAGUGCAACCCAGACACCUACAAAUGGUCCUUCCAGAACCUCUCCCAUCUCCCGCCAUCCUACGAGGCUGCCAUCAAGACUAACCCAAGUAAAUAUUCUUCUCUGAAGAGAUUAACUGACA